Trichonephila inaurata madagascariensis is the source of this 73-nucleotide non-coding RNA. The record is from the annotation of a GenBank genome assembly. NCBI's taxonomy places the organism in Eukaryota, Metazoa, Arthropoda, Arachnida, Araneae, Nephilidae.
GUCCCUGUAGCUUAAUGGUUAGCGCAUUGGAUCUCUAAUCUAAAGGUCGUGGGUUCGAAUCCCACCUGGGAUG